UAUCCGCAGAAAAUGAACCGAGAAAGACUGUUAGGCACAUGAACUAGAUUCCCUAAAUAUUACAAAUGUCAUGAAUUACAUCCCUGCCAACAUUUCCAGUAAAAUUUACAUCAAGCAUAGAGGCACAAUUCUGGUCAGGUCUUAGGAAAUUGGCUUUCUUUCUUUUGAUUAUCUAGAUGAUGAUUAGAACCCAAAUUGAGAAUGAUAGAUUAGGGAUGCAGUUUUGUGAGAUUGUAAGCCUCGAAGCCAUCACCUACCUUGCACACUGGCAGGAGAUUGUCCACCUCUCUCACUGCCAAUAUCAUCUUCUACUCCACUCACGUCUAAACAAAGGCCAUUGUUGUUUACACUGACUUCAGAGCUAGCAUUACUGCUGGUGGCAAGAGGAGAAUCUGAAACACUAACCGUUCUGCUUCGUGCAGGCCCUGAUCUCACACUGUACAUAGAGGAUGCAGGAAUAUUUGUCAUCAACGGCCGCAAAUUACCAGGAAUGGUUCGCCUUAUAUCCUGCAAUCAAAAGUUAAAUCAAAUAUUAAUAUCACUGGGUUUCUGGGAUGUACAUCAAAUCAUAAACAGGAAAAGAAUGAUUACCAUGUGACGUAUAGCCAUAUCAAGGGAUUUCUUUGAGAGUGUUCUACCAAAGCCGGAACUGUCUGGGGAUGAAGAUGACUUCCCAGAGUUACCAUGAGGUGACGGUUUGUCAUCAUGCUUGGGGGGAGCCAGUCUCCGCAUAUUUAUUACCCUCUCAACCAUUUUCGUUCCCAUUAAAACAGGGCUCACAUUGUCAUUAACUUUAGAACGCCCACGACUGAAUGCAGGAACAGAGCUCCCACUAAUAUGAGUACUGCCAUUGGGAGCCCUUCCUCUUGAAGGAGAGCAUAAACAGUAGCAAAACCUUCUCAAAUCAAGUAAAUUUUUCAAACGCAAUUUAUAAGCUGAGCAAAGUGAUUGCAGCUUGGGCAGAUGCGAAAGAGUUCAAUAGUUCAGACACUCAUGUAACGGCCAAUCAGGCUUUGCAAUGAACAAGUUUUGACCUUUUCUGCUUCCUAUUGCAUAUUUUUUAGGAUAAUAAAUGCCAAGCGUAUUAAUUACUUGAAAGUUAAAAAGGAGAGUCAAAAUCAAAUCCAUAUGAAACGGCUACUCCUAUCACAUAGAGAUGCAUAUACUCCAACCACUCCAGAUUAAGAAUUACUACCCUCAUAAUAAGGAAGUGCUAACUCUAGAUUUGAGUGCAGUUGGACGAGCCUUUGGGGUUCCAAGCUGACUCAUCAUGGUCUUAUGUGAUUCCAUUUACAGUGAAGGGAAAAGAGGAGUCCCAGGCGGAGUUAAAAGCCUGCAGCAAGGGGGGAAAAAUCAUAUAAUGAUCUCAGUUAAAGCAGAACAUAAUAUAUAAUAAGACCCAACUUCAAAAGCCAAUUGCCACCUCUGCUAAAGUCUGAUCCUAAUAUGCUCUUAAGAACAAAAUAACACAUGUUUCCAUGAACUGUGGUCAGCAUUCCUUUCCAAAAAUUACUCAUAGUAGAUCCCCGCCUCCCCUAUUAUCUAUCAAAACCCUCUCAGCUAAAAAACAACUUUUACAGAUAAAAUGUAAUCUAUACUAUCACAUUACCAAUCAUAGUCAUUCUUAUCAUUCUCCAAAUUGAGAAACUUAUCAGUUCCACUCUUGCGCGUCAUCAGUUCCACUCUUGCGCGUGGAGGGCGCCGGCGUAGAUGAGGAUAUAUUAAAAAUGGGAGAAGUUCCGGGUUUAGCCCCUGCAAAUGUCGAAACAACCACACUAGUCAACCCACAUUUCCAAACAAUUCAAGCCAACUAUUACACUAAUACAGCACCAGUUCAAGAACUAAAUUUGAAAUCCUAUGUUACAAUCCAAAAUCCGAAAAAAAAACUAAGACUUGGGAACUGAGAAGUACCUAAAGGCGCAACGAACUCUUCAGAAGUGUUGAGAAGAAGAUCGUUCCUCUCCUUCUCCCUCUUCUUCAUCUCUAGAAACAACACCAGCUCUUCUUCCUUCUCCUUCCUCAUCAAGGCCCUCAGCUUGUGAAGUUCCAAGUACUUCCGGUAUGUUAAGCAAAAAAUAUAACAGGUGUUUAUCAUGGCACAAUACACCUGUUUGGUAGAACAACAUCCAUGGCCAGGAACUUGUCCUCAUUCUGGUCUCAGCUUCAGUUAAAUGUUAUAUGUUUAGCAGGGUAACUGAAGAAUGGAAGAAGCGAUUUUUCUUUUUCAAAGAACAAUAUUAAGACAUUAAGUGGGGGCAAUUGCCCUCACUAGGCAUAACAUGCGUCCGCCUAUGGCAGUAGAAGUAAUUCACUGACUCACUAUUAAGAGACUACAUACCUACAUUCUAAUCUGAACAUGUAAACUUUGAGUUUCAGAAAUGUACAAGUUUGGAGUAUUUCUGCUAGGGAUGAUGGUAAACAGGAUGCCACAAAAAGAGUUUGAGAGGUGCAACGAUUGUUAUAUGCAGAAUGCAUUAUCUUAGAAAUCGAGAGACACCGACAGACCCGAAAAUGGAAUUGACUCAAAACAUUGAUGCAAAUAUUCAAAAUACUCUUAAAACAAUAUCCUUACUUCACAGUUCACAUUCAAUAUACUCAUAUCUCACGAUGUUAAGCUGAAUAAAAUUCAAGGGAAUUGAGAUGAACAUGCCAAUCUAUAUACUAAUCAUUACUAUUGCAGCAUAAUACUCCAACAUUCUCAACUCGCAAAAAAGGAUAGAUUAACACAACAAAGCUUUAAUUCAACCAAUAUAUACAAACUCAUCAUUGAUCGUUACCUUCACCAACGAGAUGGCAGUUACCAACAAGAUGAAUACUUCAAUCGGCUGCAAAUUCGAAAAAAAUUUAUUUAUCCCCAAUUUCGGAUUAAAUCUAACGCCGGGCCCAAGGUUUCAAACAUUUUUACGAUCUUGGGUUGUCCGGAAUGGAAUGUUGACAGCCAAGAGGACCUCGAUGUCGAUCGAUUGCUUGAGUAAUAGACCCGGUAAGCAAGAGGAUGAGUGGUUGGUCGGCUUGAAUGGGUUAUGCUAUUAUUGUUUUAUUGCGUCUGCUUUUUCUUUUUUCUUUUUUAUUCCAGUGGUUAACGCCACUUGACUAACGCCUUCUUUCACGUGCACUGCAUAUGGGCGUGUACAUCCACGGCCGUGCACACAAGACACUCAGCUGGAAACUUCCACGAACAAUAGAUGAUUGAAGACCCAGUUUGCUUCUGAAGAUUGAAAAGUCUUGCGUGUGGACUUUCUCACCAGUUUGCUCCACAAGACACUCCGGUUUUUCAAAAUUUCUCUCCGAUCACUAUUUGAUCGGAGUGUCUUGUGGAGCAAACCGGAGUGUCUUCAAUCAUCUAUUGUUCGUGGAAAUUUCCAGCGGGACAAAAACCUUUCGUGUUCUUCAUCUCAGUUCUAACUUUCAAACUCGAAUGACUAAUUGGAUUCUUCACCUUCAUUUCUAUAAUGGGUGCGAGUCCUCUUUUACUCACGAUCCUCACCCUCUCUUUCUUCUUAUCAGGUAAGUAAUCCAUCAUCAACUCCUCCAUAUCGAGUGAUCGAACAAACUGGUGUUUACUUUUUAGUGAUCGAGUGCAGAAACAGAGUCCGUAUCGCUCCAGAUAGUCAACAAGUGCAACGACACAAUCUGGCCCGGAAUUCUCUCCACCGGCAGAGUAAAACUGUCGACCACCGGCUUCACGCUCGAAAGCGGCGCGUCCUUGAACCUCUCCGUCCCCGACUCCUGGACAGGUCGUGUCUGGGCCCGGACACUCUGCAACCAAUAUUCCAGCGGAAACUUCUCCUGUUUCACCGCCGACUGCGGCACCGGAAAAAUCGAGUGCGACGGAAACUUUGGCAGUCUGCCGGCUACUACAGCCGAGUUCAGUCUCAACAGGACCGGCGGCGUGGACUUCUAUUUCGUCAGCCUCGUCACCGGGUUCAACCUCCCGAUAGUGGUGGAGCCUCGCGGAGCAGGCAGCAACAACUGCAGCUCUUCGGGAUGCUCGGCCGACUUGAACGGCGAUUGUCCCAAGGAGCUGAGGGUGGCGCGUGAGGGGAGCCAAGGGACCGUGGCGUGCAUGACGCCGUGCAUGGCGUUCAAUAAUUCGCGGUUUUGUUGUACGUAUCGUGCAUCCGACACGUGUGAUGGGACCGUAUAUAGCGAUUAUUUCAAACAAAGAUGCCCACAAGCGUAUACCUACUCGUAUGAUGACAACCAGAGUACGUACACCUGUGCUUCAGCUAAUGACUACAGCAUUGUUUUCUGUCCUAUCAGGUACCUAGUCCAUUAUAUAUUGUCACGUUUUAUGAUGUUCCAUUUGAGAGUCAUGUUGUAGAACCACUGCGAUUAAUCAAUUCUUGCUAUUAUAACAUGUCAAGAUGUCAAGAACCAGUAUGUUGCAUAUGAAGUUCUUGAGGAAUGUGGUAGUGAUAAGUUCUUGAGGAAUGUGCAAGUGCAAGGGGUUAAUAGUAGGUUCGAAGUUUUCUAAUUAUGUAGAACACUAGAAUUAGUAGUAUACAACUAGAAUUCAGAAAUCAUCCAUGAUACGAAUGCAGGUUAUUACAAAAGAUUUACUCCAAUUAAAGCACGUUAAUAACUGGUAACCAUCAAGCUUCGAUUCUUUAUGUCAGUUUGGACCAAACACCUUCGAAAAGUAAAAACCACAAAAUCGUGAUUGCCUUUAUAGCGGCAAGUGCUCAGAUUAUCAUCUACAUAACGAUGUUUGCGGGCCUAUGGAGCAUUACAUCGAAGAGACGACAAGGUUAGCAAAAUGAAUGCAUAGGCCGACUUGGAAUGCAGGACUUUCAGUUUUUUAGCUCGUCAUUUAUGUGAUGAUCACUCUGGUUUUUGGUGUAGAUAUCAAAAAUAGUUCAUUGGAGUUGGAGGAUGGUCGACGCUUCAUGUACUCGGAGCUUGUAAAGAUUACCAAUAAUUUUGCAUCGCCAAUUGGAGCUGGUGGAUUUGGAAAAGUCUAUCAUGGUCUUCUGGAAAAUGAUAUUCAAGUUGCUGUCAAGUUACUUAUUUCCGCAUCAGGCUCCAGUGAAUUUCAAAAUGAGGUAGAUAAGUUAACAAUCUAGCUCUAAAGCGACUCGGACUGUUCCAAAACCGCAAUUAACAUUAACUUUGAGCCAUAUAUAACAAACUGUAUGCAGGUUAAGCUAUUGAUGAGAGCUCAUCAUAGAAAUGUGGUUUCCUUCAUUGGCUACAGCUAUGAUGGAAAGACUAUGGCACUUGUAUUUGAAUAUGUGGCCAACGGAAAUCUGCGGCAACAUUUAACAUUUUCAGGUAUGCACUUAUCAUACUUCAUCUAUAUAUAUGAUGUGCUUGCAUUACUUGAUGAUCACUUAUAUGGCCUAAAUGCAAUCAUUUGUGCACUGUUGAGGUUCAGAUGCAGCCACUGGAAACAUUUUGACUUGGAAGGAGAGACUUCAAAUCGCAGUGGAUGCAGCACAUGGUAUAGAAUAGCUGACAUAUAAGAUAAAUAUAUAUGUUAAAGAGUUUGUUUCUUUGGUUCCCCUAUAUAUAUUCAUCAUGUAGUUCUAAAUCAUGAUCAUGUUGAAAUUUGAUGUACAUUAGUACAAGGCAUCGAUUAGGCUUUUAAAUGGCAGAUGAUAUUUUGCAGGACUGGAUUAUCUACACAAUGAUUGCAAGCCUCCCAUAAUCCACAGAGAUAUAAAGACCUCCAAUAUAUUGUUAACUGAAAAGACGCAAGCCAAGAUAUGUGAUUUUGGUGUUUCCAAACUUCUUUCAACUGAAACGGCCACUCAUACCAUGACAGAUCACGUCAGAGGAACUCGCGGAUACUUUGAUCCUGAGUAAGUUAGUAAAGACAUAUAUUAGACAUAUAAGUUGCUCUAAAUUGCUGAUAGAUAAGCAUAACUUACAUUCUUCGAUUUUCUUCUUUUCAUUUCAUUAUGUUCAGAUACUACACCACAGGAAAGCUGAACAAAAAGAGUGAUAUAUACAGCUUUGGGGUUGUGUUGCUAGAGCUGAUCACCGGAAGAACAGCAAUAAUAACAGAUGUAGAACCCGAACCUGUUCACAUUUGUCAAUGGGUGAGGCCUAUGUUUCAGAGAAGAGAUAUUGAAAGCAUAUUGGAUUCAAGGAUACAAGCAGGGACUUACACUGUUUCCUCUGCUUGGAAGGCGGUAGAAAUCGCCAUGGAAUGUGUGUCCUCAACAGCUACCGAAAGACCAGAUAUCACUGUCGUGUAUAAGGAAUUGAAGGAAUGUUUGGAAAUUGAGGUUCCACCUGAAAUACCAAAGGAUCCAGAGGUUGAUGAGAGUGAUGAUUGCAGUACUAGUUCAAGUGUCCCUGUUCCCAUGAUGUCCCACACUCGGUCUGAAAGCUUCUUAGUAGACAUGAAGUCACACAUUGAGUCUGAAACUGAAAGGCAUACGUAUUAGUUAUUCUUGCACUGUAAAACCAAGAUUGGAAAUUUGGAAUUAUACGAGAGCGGGAACUGAUUGGUUUCUACAAAUCUAGUAGAACAUUGCUCCAAUUGUGGGUUUCUCUGGAUUGCAAGAGGAUAUUACCUCCGAUGAAUCCAGAAGAAUGUUUAAAAUUAAGUUCUUGCAACUGGAAGUCUGGAAGAGACACUCUAUCAAUUGAUGCCAAAGGAACACUUGGGGUACCUUGUUGCUGUAAAUUGCAGGUUACCAGUUUUUCAACCUUCGUGUUUGUUUGAGGACCAAUCUGCUCAUGUAACAACAUUUGCAUUAUCAAUGCAUCAGCCACUUGGUUCCCUUUUUCGAAAAAUAUGUGAAAAACGAAAUUGCAUCACUGGAAUUCCAUGCCACAUCUCUAGUUAUCAAUGGACCAUUUAGGGAGUAUAGAAAAUCUAGAAUUAGAGACGACUUCAAACCAAAUAUGCAAGCUGGAUUGCCUUCAUCAUUGUCGUAACCUCAGCAACAAUUAUCAAGUGAUGAAGCAAAAGCAUGGACAAUCCUCACCUUGAAAAUCAUGAAAAACUCCACCAUAGCCCGACUGAUCCUCCCCACACUUUUAAGCGCCGUCUGUGUCAACCUUUACCAAACCAAUAAUGGGAGGUUUCCAAUUCACCUCAAAAAUAAGGGCAUGACGCGGCCGACAAGUAACACCAAACCAGCUAGUCAAGAGGACAAAACACAGACAAAAAAGAGAAAAUUACAUAGUAAUACAUGACCAAAUUUACAAACACAAAAACCAACUUUCAAUAUUUUUUGUACAAAUUAGGACAUGAGUACGUGCCGAAAACUAGUGGUACCAGAUAUGAUCCACACUUUCAUAAGCAAAUAACCAAUAUACCCACCGCGUUAUCUUCUUUCUCCAUCACCCAUAUCUCUCUCUCUCUCUCUCUCUCUCUNNNNNNNNNNNNNNNNNNNNCUCUCUACUCAGUACUCACCAUCAUCGCUGCCCCUCCUCCUCCACUGCCUCACUGUCGCCGCCGCAACAAUUGACGGUUCCCCUCAUCCGCGCCACACCAUCGCCGUCCUCUUCCUUCGUUGGUCGCCACGUCAGAAUCAACAGUAGUAGAAUCGCGUCUUCCUCCUAUCCAAGCUUGAUCACAUCACCUCUGUCCUUUGACGCUCGUCAAAGAGGCACGCCGCACGACGAUGCUCGACGACUACGACGCCCAGAUCGCAUCACUUCAGUCCUCCGAUGUCGGAUCUCAUACAACGUCAAGCUCUUAGAUCUGGUUAUGCAAACUGAUGUGAUCUGGUCGUCAUAUUCAUAUCCUAGCACCUUGUCAUGAUUUGGUUUGAAUUUGAAGCAUUGCAUAUGUUGGAGCAAACCUUGAUGCAUGGAUUUGAUCUUCAAUUUAUAUGAGAUGUUCAUGGAUUUGAUCUUCAGUUGGUAUGAGAUGCAUGGUGUCACCGUCUCUCAUUUGUCUCACUCAGUAGCAGUGAUAUAAAUGAGGUUGAAUGGUUUGGGUUUUGGUUGAUUAGUAGGUGAUGCCAUAUAUGAAUGAGGUUUGUUGUGAGAACAUGAAUGAGAUCUGUUUAUUUGAAUGAGGUUUGCUUAUCAAGUUAAACCAUUACUUGUUGUGGUAGAUGUAGUUUUAAAGUUCAUUAGUAGUGAUACGUACAGUAGCAGCAACGUUAUCAUCAGAGUCGGCUCGGCAGUAGUAGCGCUAGCAUCAAAGUUGGUAGUAGCAGCGCUCUAGCAUUAGAGUCGACAGUAGCAGCUUUGUUUGAUUUCAGAGAAUUGCCUGAAAAAAUUACAAUAACUCCUUUUUAUCGGGUGCUACUGUGCUACGUGGCAGUAGCACCCAAUGUGCUAUGUGCUAUGUGCUACUGUGCUUCUCAGUAGUGUGCUAUUGUGCUACUUGGCAGUAGCACCCAAUAUGCUAUUGUGCUACUCGGCAGUGUGCUACUGUGCUACAAGUCGAUAGUAGCAGUUGAUAUGUAAUGAAGGGUAUUCUGGUAAAAUUGUAGUGACAGAUGGCAUGUGAGUAUUAGUUUGUCAUAAUUUGUUAAUAUUUGUCUUUAAAUGUGUAAGAUAUUGUGUAAAAGAUGUAUUUGUAAACUGAAAUUUGGUUAAUAACUUUAUAGUAAUUUGCUAAAUUAAAAAAAGUGGGAGAAAAAAUAAUAUAAAAAUAAAUAAAAAUAAAAAAUGUCAUCUAGUAUUAUCUAUAGCCACGAGAAAGAAUGGGUGAAUUCGACUAUACAAGUCGCACAAGAGCAGCAAUGUUGGAAUUCUCAGUUGGUCUUCAAUCAUCUAUUGUUCACCUUUGUCUUCUUCUUCUCAGUUCUAACUUCAAACUCGAAUGACUAACUGGAUUCUUCACCUUCAUUUCUAUAAUGGGUGGGAGUCCUCUUCUACUCACGAUCAUGAUCACCCUUUCUGCUUUCUUCUCAGGUAAUGAAUCCACCCUCAUCUCCUCCAUCUCUGUUUCUUACUGAUCGAACAAACUGGUAUUUACUUCUUGGUUUCUUCAGAAACAGAGUCGACAUCUUUCGAGAUUGUGAACAACUGCAACUACACAAUCUGGCCCGGACUUCGCUCCACCGGCUCAUCACUAAACCUGUCCACCACCGGCUUCACGCUCAGGAGCGGCGCGUCCUUCAACCUCUCCGUCCCCAAAUCCUGGACAGGUCAGGUGUGGGGACGGACACUCUGCAACGAAUCCUCCACCGGAAACUUCUCCUGUUUCACCGCCGACUGCGGCACCGGAAAAGUCGAGUGCGACGGAAAUGGCGCCAUCCCGCCUGCUACUUUUGCUGAAUUCGAACUCAACAACUUCGGCUCCGGCGUGGACUACUAUGACGUCAGCCUGGUCACUGGGUUCAACCUCCCGAUGGUGGUGGAGCCUCGCGGAGCAGGCAGCAACCACUGCAUCUCUUCUGGAUGCUCGGCCGACUUGAACGGCGAUUGUCCCAAGGAGCUGAGGGUGGCGCGUGAGGGGAGCCAAGGGACCGUGGCGUGCAUGACGCCGUGCACGGCGUUCAAUAAUUCGCGGUUUUGUUGUACCGGGGAGUAUAGUACACCCGCCUCGUGUUCUGGGACCGUAUAUACCGAUUAUUUCAAACAAAGAUGCCCAAAGGCGUACACGUAUGCGUUUGAUUUGACGCCUUAUGCCAACCAGACUACGUUUACGUACAGCUGUGCGACAGCUAACUACAGCGUUGUUUUCUGCCCUAUCAGGUACCUAGCUAGUUCAUAAUAUAUUGUCAAAUUUGUCGUUGUUGAACCACUGCAAGUUACUUAGCGGUCAACCCGAGUUCGAUUUCAGAGUGUUGUUAAAGUGGUUAGAAGCUGAAAUGUAUAGUUGGAGCGCUGAGAGAUUAGUCGAUUCUUCGUAUUAUAACAUGUCGAAACGUUGGGCAAGAAGUCGAGAGCCAAUAUGAUGUUUUUGACGAAUGUGGUAGUGAUGAGACAACAAUGUGAAAGUGCAAGGGGUUAUUAGUAGUUUUCUGGGAGUUCUCUGGUUACAGUGUGGGUCUAUAUUAUGUAGAACAGUAGAAUUAGUAGUACUUACAACUUACACGUAGAAAUCUUCCAUGAUACAAAUGCAGGUUAGUAAGAAAGACUAACCAUCAAGCUUCUUUAUGUCAGUUUACCAGCUGAAACACAAGCAGAAACACCAGCCAAAGAACCAACUGUAUCCGAACAGGUUCCUUCGAAAAGUAAAAACCACACAAUCAUGAUUGCCUCUAUAGCGUCAAGUGCUGGGAUUAUCAUCUUCAUAUUAGCGGUGGUAGCAGGCCUAUGGAGCAGUAGAAGGAAGAGACAACAAGGUUAGCAAAAUGAAUACUUAGGCGGACUUUGAAUGCAGGAUUUUCAAUUUUUUAGCUAGUCAUUUUUGUGAUGAUUACUCUGGCUUUUGGUGUAGNNNNNNNNNNNNNNNNNNNNUACNGGAAACAUUUUGACUUGGAAGGAGAGACUUCAUAUCGCAGUGGAUGCAGCACAAGGUAUACAAUAGCUGAGAUAUAAGAACAAUAUAUAUGUGAAAUGGAUUGUUCCUUUGGUCUUCCUAUAUAUUUCCUAAAUCAUGAUUGAGUUGCAAUAUGAUGUACAUUAGUACCUGACAUCGAUUAGGCUUUUAAAAGGCAGAUAAUAUUUUGCAGGACUGGAUUAUCUACAUAAUGGUUGCAAGCCUCCCAUAAUCCACAGAGAUAUAAAGACCUCCAAUAUAUUGUUAACUGAAAAGAUGCAAGCCAAGAUAUGUGAUUUUGGUGUUUCCAAACUUCUUUCAACUGAAACCGCCACUCAUACCAUGACAGAUCACGUCAGAGGAACUAGAGGAUACUUUGAUCCUGAGUAAGUUAGUAAAGACAUACAUAAGUUACUUAGCAUUACUGAAAGAUAAAUUGCUGAUAGAUAAGCAUAACUUACAUUCUUCGGUUUUCUUCUUUUCAUGUCAUUAUGUUCAGAUACUACACCACAGGAAAGCUGAACAAAAAGAGUGAUAUAUACAGCUUUGGUAUUGUGUUGCUAGAACUAAUCACGGGCAGAACAGCAAUAAUAGAAGAUGUAGAACCCGAACCUGUUCACAUAUGUCAAUGGGUGAGGCCUAUGUUUCAGAGAAGAGAUAUUGAAAGUAUAUUGGAUUCAAGGAUACAAGCAGGGACUUACAACGUUUCCUCUGCUUGGAAGGCGGUAGAAAUCGCCAUGGAAUGUGUGUCAUCAACAGCUUUCGAAAGACCAGAUAUCAAUGUUGUGUAUAAGGAACUGAAGGAAUGUUUUGAAAUUGAGGUUCCACCUGAAAUAGCAAAGGUUCCAGAGGUUGAUGAAGAGAGUGAUGAUUGCAGUACUAAUUCAAGUGUUUCUUUUCACAUGGCGUCCCACGCUGAGUCUGAAAGCUUCUUAGUUCAUAUGAAGUCACACAUUGAGUCUGAAACUGAAAGGCAUACGUGUUAGUUAUUAUUUUGUUUUGAAAUCAACAUGUUAGUUAUUCUUGCACUGUUAAAACAAGAUUGGAAUUAUACGGGGGCGGAAACUAAUUGGACUAUUUCUACAAAUCUAGUAGAACAUUGCUCCGAUUUAAACUGUUCGUGGGUUCCUGGAUUGCAAGAGUAUAUUAUUACCUCUGGUGGAUCCAGAAGUAUGUCUUAAAUUAAGUUCUUGCAACUGAAGUGGCACUCGUAUUUCAACUUAUGCAAAGGAACAUUUUGGGUACCUUGAUGCUGUAAACUGCAGGUUAUAAAAACUGAUGAAGAUUUUCAACGUUCGCGAUUAUUUCAGGAUCAAUGACUUCUGAUAAACAGUUGCACAGAUCAAUGAGAGCGUUGUUGAUACGAGUUCGAGCAGCUCAGCUCGUGGAAGAAAGAGCUGCAACACAAAAAUGCUAGAUAGAUAAUUCAUUGUCAAAAGUUUGGUAAUCGAUUAAUUCAUAGUGGGUCGUCCAUCUAUGUAAUGCAACUAGAUAUUGAAAAGGCUUCCAUAGUUUGAAGAAAGUAGUCGUUCAGAAAUCAGAAGUAACAAAUACUGGAGACAACAGAACAAUAACAGGCAGCAGUAAAACCUCUGGUUUUCAAUAACACGGUUGAACUUUUCAAUACAUCUAUCCGCAGAAAAUGAACCCAGAAAGACUGUUAGGCACAUGAACUAGAUUCCCUAAAUAUUACAAAUGUCAUGAAUUACAUCCCUGCCAACAUUUCCAGUAAAAUUUACAUCAAGCAUAGAGGCACAAUUCUGGUCAGGUCUCAGGAAAUUGGCUUUCUUUCAUUUGAUUAUCUAGAUGAUGAUUAGAACCCAAAUUAAGAAUGAUAGAUUAGGGAUGCACGUUUUGUGAGAUUGUAAGCCUCGAAGCCAUCACCUACCUUGCACACCGGCAGGAGAUCGACCACCU
This 12262-nucleotide long non-coding RNA is filed under the name Fragaria vesca (wild strawberry). RNAcentral's name for it is "long non-coding RNA (FVES_LNC003831)". Lineage: Eukaryota; Viridiplantae; Streptophyta; Magnoliopsida; Rosales; Rosaceae. The record is from RNAcentral.